CACGUAGGGUGCGAGCAUUGUCCGGAAUUAUUGGGCGUAAAGAGCUCGUAGGCGGUCUGUCGCGUCGAUCGUGAAAACUUGGGGCUUAACCCUGAGCUUGCGGUCGAUACGGGCAUGACUGGAGUUCGGCAGGGGAGACUGGAAUUCCUGGUGUAGCGGUGAAAUGCGCAGAUAUCAGGAGGAACACCGGUGGCGAAGGCGGGUCUCUGGGCCGAUACUGACGCUGAGGAGCGAAAGCGUGGGGAGCGAACAGG
RNAcentral lists this ribosomal RNA (254 nucleotides) under uncultured bacterium. Its description in RNAcentral is "partial 16S ribosomal RNA". It matches the Rfam family "Bacterial small subunit ribosomal RNA", at positions 524 to 776 of the family's 1533-position model. The record is from RNAcentral.